RNAcentral lists this ribosomal RNA (301 nucleotides) under uncultured bacterium. RNAcentral's name for it is "partial 16S ribosomal RNA". It matches the Rfam family "Bacterial small subunit ribosomal RNA", at positions 509 to 807 of the family's 1533-position model. The record is from RNAcentral.
CAGUCGCCGCGGUAAGACGGAGGGUGCUAGCGUUGUUCGGAAUCACUGGGCGUAAAGGGCGCGUAGGCGGCCUGUUAAGUCGGAUGUGAAAGCCCGGGGCUCAACCCCGGAACUGCAUCCGAGACUGGCAGGCUUGAGACCGGGAGAGGAGGGUGGAAUAUCCAGUGUAGAGGUGAAAUUCGUAGAUAUUGGAUGGAACACCGGUGGCGAAAGCGGCUCUCUGGCCCGGAUCUGACGCUGAGGCGCGAAAGCGUGGGGAGCAAACAGGAUUAGAUACCCCAGUAGUCCCUGUCUCUUAUAC